RNAcentral lists this long non-coding RNA (643 nucleotides) under Oncorhynchus mykiss (rainbow trout). Its description in RNAcentral is "lncRNA (ENSOMYG00000067923.1)". Lineage: Eukaryota; Metazoa; Chordata; Actinopteri; Salmoniformes; Salmonidae. The record is from RNAcentral.
AUGAAUAGAAAACAUUACACUGAAGAUCCUGCUGUUUUAUUAGUCUGUUUUACUGUGGGCUUUACCCCAAAGGUCUGUUUUACUGUGGGCUUUACCCCAAAGGUCUGUUUUACUGUGGGCUUUACCCCAAAGGUCUGUUUUACUGUUUACCCCAAAGGUCUGUUUUACUGUGGGCUUUACCCCAAAGGUCUGUUUUACUGUGGGCUUUACCCCAAAGGUCUGUUUUACUGUGGGCUUUACCCCAAAGGUCUGUUUUACUGUGGGCUUUACCCCAAAGGUCUGUUUUACUGUGGGCUUUACCCCAAAGGUCUGUUUUACUGUGGGCUUUACCCCAAAGGUCUGUUUUACUGUGGGCUUUACCCCAAAGGUCUGUUUUACUGUGGGCUUUACCCCAAAGGUCUGUUUUACUGUUUAACCCAAAGGUCUGUUUUACUGUGGGCUUUAACCCAAAGGUCUGUUUUAAUGUGGGCUUUAACCCAAAGGUCUGUUUUACUGUGGGCUUUACCCCAAAGGUCUGUUUUACUGUGGGCUUUAACCCAAAGGUCUGUUUUUACUGUGGGCUUUACCCCAAAGGUCUGUUUUACUGUGGGCUUUACCCCAAAGGUCUGUUUUAAUGUGGGCUUUACCCCAAAGGUCUGUUUUA